GAGUUUGAUCCUGGCUCAGGACGAACGCUGGCGGUGCGCCUUAUGCAUGCAAGUCGAGCGAAGCUUUUCAGUAGUUUACUACAGAAAAUGACUGAGCGGCGAACGGGUGAGUAACGCGUGAGCAACCUACCUUAGUUACUGGGAUAGCCCGAGGAAACUCGGAUUAAUACCGGAUAUUCUUAUUUAAUCACAUGAUUUUUUAAGGAAAGGUCAGCCGAACUAAGAUGGGCUCGCGUUCUAUCAGCUAGUUGGUAGGGUAAUGGCCUACCAAGGCUACGACGGAUAGCUGGUCUGAGAGGACGAUCAGCCACACUGGGACUGAGACACGGCCCAGACUCCUACGGGAGGCUGCAGCAGGGAAUAUUGCGCAAUGAGCGAAAGCUUGACGCAGCGACACCGCGUGUGGGAUGACGGAUCUAGGUUUGUAAACCACUUUCAGGAGGGAAGAAAAUGACGGUACCUCCACAAGAAGCCCCGGCCAACUACGUGCCAGCAGCCGCGGUAAUACGUAGGGGGCGAGCGUUGUCCGGAUUUAUUGGGCGUAAAGAGCUCGUAGGCGGUUCAACAAGUCGGUCGUGAAAGUUCAGGGCUCAACCCUGAAAUGUCGAUCGAUACUGUUGUGACUAGGAUACGGUAGAGGUGAGUGGAAUUCCGAGUGUAGCGGUGAAAUGCGUAGAUAUUCGGAGGAACACCAAUUGCGAAGGCAGCUCACUGGGCCGCUAUCGACGCUG
This 731-nucleotide ribosomal RNA is filed under the name uncultured bacterium. RNAcentral describes it as "bacterial SSU rRNA". It matches the Rfam family "Bacterial small subunit ribosomal RNA", at positions 9 to 748 of the family's 1533-position model. The record is from RNAcentral.